This 520-nucleotide ribosomal RNA is filed under the name uncultured Glomus. RNAcentral's name for it is "SSU rRNA". It matches the Rfam family "Eukaryotic small subunit ribosomal RNA", at positions 569 to 1090 of the family's 1831-position model. Lineage: Eukaryota; Fungi; Glomeromycota; Glomeromycetes; Glomerales; Glomeraceae. The record is from RNAcentral.
AGCAGCCGCGGUAAUUCCAGCUCCAAUAGCGUAUAUUAAAGUUGUUGCAGUUAAAAAGCUCGUAGUUGAAUUUCGGGAUCAAUACGUCGGUCGUGCUUCGGUACGUACUGGCGUCAUUGAUUUCUCCCUUCUGACGAACCAUGAUGUCCUUAACUUGGUGUCAUGGGAAAUCAGGACUGUUACUUUGAAAAAAUUAGAGUGUUUAAAGCAGGCUCACGCUUGAAUACAUUAGCAUGGAAUAAUGAAAUAGGACGUUUGAUUCCAUUUUGUUGGUUUCUAGGAUUGACGUAAUGAUUAAUAGGGAUAGUUGGGGGCAUUAGUAUUCAAUUGUUAGUGGUGAAAUUCUUGGAUUUAUUGAAGACUAACUACUGCGAAAGCAUUUGCCAAGGAUGUUUUCAUUAAUCAAGAACGAAAGUUAGGGGAUCGAAGACGAUCAGAUACCGUCGUAGUCUUAACCAUAAACUAUGCCGACUAGGGAUCGGAUGAUGUUAAUUUUUUCAAUGACUCAUUUGGCGCCUUA